Molecule: ribosomal RNA, 253 nt
Filed under: uncultured bacterium
Lineage: Bacteria
Description: partial 16S ribosomal RNA
Rfam family: Bacterial small subunit ribosomal RNA
Source: RNAcentral
UACGUAGGGGGCUAGCGUUGUCCGGAAUCAUUGGGCGUAAAGCGCGCGUAGGCGGCCCGGUAAGUCCGUUGUGAAAGUCAAAGGCUCAACCUUUGAAUGCCGAUGGAUACUGCCGGGCUCGAGUCCGGAAGAGGCGAGUGGAAUUCCUGGUGUAGCGGUGGAAUGCGCAGAUAUCAGGAGGAACACCAAUAGCGAAGGCAGGUCUCUGGGCAUUAACUGACGCUGAGGUGCGAAAGCGUGGGGAGCAAACAGG